AGCCGGGCGGUAGGGGUGGGGGGCCCAGACUGCCACCUUGCCUUAUUUGGUCGCCUUCACACCAUCUAGGACCGCCGAGGCCAUUCAUGGAGCCAAGGGCAGGGGAGAGGAUCAGCGGGGGGCUCCCAGACCAUACCCAGACAUGACUGCAUCGUGCCUAUUGAGAAAGAUUGGUUCGCAUCCUAUGAGCCUAAGAAUCAGCACCAGAAUCUCGGCACCUGCGUGUUGGCAGCCAGGAGCAGGUGGCCCAGGCCAUGCUGAUGAUGGUCGCAGUGGACUGGACACAGCGGUGGAAGACACAGUUGCACUCCACAGUUUAUUUACAGCAGGUGAGAUGCCCUCUUGGCAGCCCUGGGGAUAUGGAGGAGGUGGGAGUCUAAAUGAGGCAAGAUGUGUAAGAUAAGAUAGGGAAGGACCAAAGACUGCCCAACUUCAUACAUCAGGGUUAGCAGGAAACAAACAAACAAACAAAACAAGGCCACUUGUUCUGAGUCUUAAGGGGCUGAGUCUUGGGUGGAGCCUCCACAGAUUCUGAUUUAACUAGUCCGAGUGCACCUGGACGUCUGGGGCUUUUUGAAAGUUCACCAGGUAUUUCUAAUGUUCUGCCACAUUGAGAACUAUGCUUGUGUUGAAGUCCAUGUUUCUUAAAACUUGCAUCAGAAUCAACUGGAGGGCUGAUAAGCAACAAAUGACCGAGACCCACUCCAGAGUUUUUGACUCAGUAGGUCUGGGUGAGGCAUGAGAAUUUGCAUUUCCUUGAAAUCUUCUAUCCACUGGUUCACUCCCCAGAUAGCCACAGUGACUAGGGAUAGGCCAGGCGGAAGCUAGUAGUCAGGAGCUUCUUCCUGGUAUCCCACAGGGGUGGCAGGGGUCCAAGUCAUGGGCCACCUUCUGCUGCUUUCCCCAGGCCGUUAGCAGGGAGCUGGAUCGGAAGUGGAGCAGCCAGGGACAGGAACUGUUGCCCAUAUGGGACUCUUGUGUGAGGCGGCAGCUCUACCUGCUACGAAACAACGCCCUGAGAAUCUGCAUCUCUCCAAAGCUUCCAGAUGACGCUGAUGCUGCCCUUCUGGAACACAGUCUCAGUGCUGCAGACCGUGAGUAAAUGUCUAUUGAGAUAGCAUUUGUGCCAGGUGACAUUUGGAGAGUGGGAAGCUGUGUGGACUAUGAAUCGAUGAGUAUGUUUGCAAAUCCUGAGCCUCACUGCUCCUUCUGCUACUUAACCAAUGACAGGAUCUGGAAUAAUCAGCUAAAGAUACUCCCCCAUGACUACAGCAAAACAAAUUAUGGCACCUACUCAUAAUGUUGGUGCAAUAUUUUAAAAGUGUGCUAUAAUCAAUAAACACAUUAUAUACAUUAAUGCA
RNAcentral lists this long non-coding RNA (1361 nucleotides) under Oryctolagus cuniculus (rabbit). RNAcentral describes it as "lncRNA (ENSOCUG00000033875.1)". The record is from RNAcentral. Lineage: Eukaryota; Metazoa; Chordata; Mammalia; Lagomorpha; Leporidae.